RNAcentral lists this ribosomal RNA (913 nucleotides) under uncultured bacterium. Its description in RNAcentral is "bacterial SSU rRNA". It matches the Rfam family "Bacterial small subunit ribosomal RNA", at positions 10 to 916 of the family's 1533-position model. The record is from RNAcentral.
AGUUUGAUCCUGGCUCAGAUUGAACGCUGGCGGCGUGCCUAACACAUGCAAGUCGAGCGGUAACAGGCGUAGCAAUACGUGCUGACGAGCGGCGAACGGGUGAGUAAUGCUUCGGAAUCUGCCCAGUAGUGGGGAAUAACCAUCCGAAAGGAUGGCUAAUACCGCAUACGUCCUAUGGGAGAAAGCGGGGGAUCGUAAGACCUCGCGCUAUUGGAUGAGCCGAAGCCGGAUUAGCUAGUUGGUAGGGUAACGGCCUACCAAGGCGACGAUCCGUAGCUGGUCUGAGAGGACGACCAGCCACACUGGGACUGAGACACGGCCCAGACUCCUACGGGAGGCAGCAGUGGGGAAUAUUGGACAAUGGGGGAAACCCUGAUCCAGCGACGCCGCGUGUGUGAAGAAGGCCUGCGGGUUGUAAAGCACUUUUAGUGGGGAUGAAAAGCCUUGGGAUAACACCCCAGGGUCUUGACCUAACCCACAGAAAAAGCACCGGCUAACUCUGUGCCAGCAGCCGCGGUAAUACAGAGGGUGCGAGCGUUAAUCGGAAUUACUGGGCGUAAAGCGUGCGUAGACGGUCGUGUAAGUCGGGUGUGAAAGCCCCGGGCUCAACCUGGGAAUUGCAUUCGAGACUGCAUGGCUAGGGUGCGGAAGAGGGAAGCGGAAUUUCCGGUGUAGCGGUGAAAUGCGUAGAUAUCGGAAGGAACACCAGUGGCGAAAGCGGCUUCCUGGUCCGACACCGACGUUCAGGCACGAAAGCGUGGGGAGCAAACAGGAUUAGAUACCCUGGUAGUCCACGCCAUAAACGAUGAGAACUAGACGUUGAGGGGGUAAGCCUCUCAGUGUCGUAGCUAACGCGCUAAGUUCUCCGCCUGGGGAGUACGGCCGCAAGGCUGAAACUCAAAGGAAUUGACGG